Molecule: ribosomal RNA, 764 nt
Filed under: uncultured bacterium
Lineage: Bacteria
Description: bacterial SSU rRNA
Rfam family: Bacterial small subunit ribosomal RNA
Source: RNAcentral
AGAGUUUGAUCAUGGCUCAGAUUGAACGCUGGCGGCAUGCCUUACACAUGCAAGUCGAACGGCAGCAUGAUCUAGCUUGCUAGAUUGAUGGCGAGUGGCGAACGGGUGAGUAAUACAUCGGAACGUGCCCUGUAGUGGGGGAUAACUAGUCGAAAGAUUAGCUAAUACCGCAUACGACCUGAGGGUGAAAGUGGGGGACCGCAAGGCCUCAUGCUAUAGGAGCGGCCGAUGUCUGAUUAGCUAGUUGGUGAGGUAAAGGCUCACCAAGGCGACGAUCAGUAGCUGGUCUGAGAGGACGAUCAGCCACACUGGGACUGAGACACGGCCCAGACUCCUACGGGAGGCAGCAGUGGGGAAUUUUGGACAAUGGGCGAAAGCCUGAUCCAGCAAUGGCCGCGUGUGUGAAGAAGGCCUUCGGGUUGUAAAGCACUUUUGUCCGGAAAGAAAUGGCUCUGGUUAAUACCUGGGGUCGAUGACGGUACCGGAAGAAUAAGGACCGGCUAACUACGUGCCAGCAGCCGCGGUAAUACGUAGGGUCCAAGCGUUAAUCGGAAUUACUGGGCGUAAAGCGUGCGCAGGCGGUUGUGCAAGACCGAUGUGAAAUCCCCGAGCUUAACUUGGGAAUUGCAUUGGUGACUGCACGGCUAGAGUGUGUCAGAGGGGGGUAGAAUUCCACGUGUAGCAGUGAAAUGCGUAGAGAUGUGGAGGAAUACCGAUGGCGAAGGCAGCCCCCUGGGAUAACACUGACGCUCAUGCACGAAAGC